AUGGGUAGAGGCAGAGGAGGCCGCAACCGCAAGCCCCGCAACUCCGCCACGUUCCGCCUCUGCCCGCGCCCCGGCGCCGCCGACCCCUCCGACCGCGUCCUCGUCCGCGUCGACGGCAACCCGUACCGCGUCCCCGGCCUCGACGACGACGACGACGACGCCUGCUGCUACUUCGAGGGCGCCGAGCCCUCGUCCUCGCCCUCCGGGGCCGCCCUCCCCGACCACGUCCGCCGCGCGAUCCUGGAGCUCGGCCUCCCCGACGACGGCUACAACUACCUCGCCCACAUCCGCGAGAUCCGCCCCUCGUACUCCUCCACCGGUGGCGGGGGCUCGUCCGCCGUGUUCCUCCCCACCCGCCGCGCUGCGCGCUGCGGUCUCCCGCUGAGCGUCAAGGCAUACGACGCGCGUGGUGUUGAUGUUGGUCUGGACAAUGUCGCUGCAACGGGGGCGCUGAUUCCAGUGGAGGAGGCCAUCGACCCGGAUGUCACCGAACUGCUCGAGGAGAGCGACAACGUUCCACCGGGGUCCUUGGAGGAUGAGGAUGAAGAGAGUGAGGUGCCACCGGGGAUCGUGGAAGAUGAGGAUGAGGAGAGCGAGGUCCCACCGGAGACCUCGGAGGACGAAGAUUCGGAGCUGGAGGACGAUUUUGUUAUCAUUGCAAAUCAGCCCGAGGAGGAAGACCAGAUGGAUCUGGAGGACGAUUUUGUUAUCCUUGCAAACCAGUCUGACGGCGAAGAGCAGAUGGACGUGAUGGCCAGCAGGUUGGAGCGAGGCAGUUUCAUGGCUGCCUUAUGGGCAUGUUAA
RNAcentral lists this ribosomal RNA (804 nucleotides) under Triticum aestivum (bread wheat). RNAcentral describes it as "partial small subunit ribosomal RNA". Lineage: Eukaryota; Viridiplantae; Streptophyta; Magnoliopsida; Poales; Poaceae. The record is from RNAcentral.